AGGGGAUAACGUUUCGCAUCCGAAACGGACGCUAAUACCGCAUACGUCCUCGGGCAGAGAGCAGGGGACCCUUCAGGCUUGCGCUAUCAGAUGAGCCCAAGUCUGAUUAGCAGUUGGCGAUUGAGUGGAUGAUCAGUCACAAUACAGGAACUGGGACACGGACCUAACGACGGAUUCUUUGGAGGCACCUGGGGAAUUUUGCAUGGGGGAGAAAGGCUGAUCCAGCCAUGCAUUACGCGUGGUGUGAAGAAAGUCUUCCGGUUAUGUAAAGCACUUUAGGCUUGGGAGGAAGGGUUGUGGGUUGAAUACCCUUGCCAUCCGUUGACGUUACCGGCAGAAUAAACACCGGCUAACUCUUCCAGCAGCCGAGCGGUAAUACGAGGAGGGUGCAAGCGUUAAUCGGAAUUACUGGGCGGUAAAGCGCACGCAGGCGCGUUGUUAAGUUAGAUGUGAAAACCCCGGGGGGCUGAACCUGGGAUCUGCCAUUCUAAUUGACCUAGACUUGUAGAGGGGGGUGGAAUUCCCUGUGUAGCGGUGAAAUGCGUAGAUAUUGGGAGGAACACCAGUGGCGAAGGCGACCCCCUGGACUAAUACUGACGCUCAGGUGCGAAAGGGUGGGGAGCAAACCGGAUUAGAUACCCUGGGUAGUCCACGCCGUAAACGAAGUCCACUAACCGUUUGAAUCCUUGAGGCCUUUUAUUUCGCAGCUAACGCAUAAGUUGACCGCCUGGGAAGUACGGCCGCAAAGUUAAAAUUCAAAUGAAUUGACGGGGGGCCCCCGCACAACCGUGGAGCAUGUGGUUUAAUUUGAAGCAACGCGAAAAACCUUUCCCGACCUUGACCAUCCAAUGUACUUUUAGAGAUUGAUUGGUGCCUUCGGGAAAUUUUGGAAACAGGUGCCGCAUGGCUGUUUCAGUUCGUGUCGUGAAAUGUUGGGUUAAGUCCCGUAACGAGCGCAAACCUUGUCUUAAUUACCAGCAGGUUAUGGUGGGCACUCUAAGGAGACUGCCGGUGACAAACCGGAGGAAGGUGGGGAUGACGUCAAGUCAUCAUGGCCCUUACGGUUUGGCUACACACGUGCUACAAUGGUCGGUACAGAGGUAGCCAACCCGCGAGGGGAGCUAAUCCAUAAAACGUAGUCCGAUCGCAGUCUCCAACUCGACUGCGUGAAGUCGGAAUCGCUAGUAUCGGGAUCAAGGGUCCGGGAAUCCGUUCCGGGCGUCUACCCC
This 1229-nucleotide ribosomal RNA is filed under the name uncultured Pseudomonas sp. RNAcentral's name for it is "partial 16S ribosomal RNA". It matches the Rfam family "Bacterial small subunit ribosomal RNA", at positions 138 to 1391 of the family's 1533-position model. The record is from RNAcentral. Lineage: Bacteria; Pseudomonadati; Pseudomonadota; Gammaproteobacteria; Pseudomonadales; Pseudomonadaceae.